RNAcentral lists this ribosomal RNA (464 nucleotides) under Vreelandella stevensii. RNAcentral describes it as "partial 16S ribosomal RNA". It matches the Rfam family "Bacterial small subunit ribosomal RNA", at positions 339 to 795 of the family's 1533-position model. The record is from RNAcentral. Lineage: Bacteria; Pseudomonadati; Pseudomonadota; Gammaproteobacteria; Oceanospirillales; Halomonadaceae.
CUACGGGUGGCAGCAGUGGGGAAUAUUGGACAAUGGGCGAAAGCCUGAUCCAGCCAUGCCGCGUGUGUGAAGAAGGCCUUCGGGUUGUAAAGCACUUUCAGUGGGGAAGAAAGCCUUGGGGCUAAUACCCUCGAGGAAGGACAUCACCCACAGAAGAAGCACCGGCUAACUCCGUGCCAGCAGCCGCGGUAAUACGGAGGGUGCGAGCGUUAAUCGGAAUUACUGGGCGUAAAGCGCGCGUAGGCGGUCUGAUAAGCCGGUUGUGAAAGCCCCGGGCUCAACCUGGGAACGGCAUCCGGAACUGUCACGCUAGAGUGCAGGAGAGGAAGGUAGAAUUCCCGGUGUAGCGGUGAAAUGCGUAGAGAUCGGGAGGAAUACCAGUGGCGAAGGCGGCCUUCUGGACUGACACUGACGCUGAGGUGCGAAAGCGUGGGUAGCAAACAGGACUAGAUACCCGAGUAGUC